CUAAGCCAUGCGAGUCGAGAGGGUUCGGCCCUCGGCGGACUGCUCAGUAACACGUGGAUAAUUUGCCCUUAGGUGGAGGAUAAUCUCGGGAAACUGAGAAUAAUACUCCAUAGAUCUAGGAUGCUGGAAUGCACUUAGAUUGAAAGUUCCGGCGCCUAAGGAUAAGUCUGCGGACUAUCAGGUUGUAGUCAGGGUAAAGACCUGACUAGCCUACAACGGAUACGGGUUGUGAGAGCAAUAACCCGGAGACGAUAUCUGAGACACGAUAUCGGGCCCUACGGGGCGCAGCAGGCGCGAAACCUUCACACUGCGCGAAAGCGCGAUAAGGGGAUCCCAAGUGCCAGCUCGUAAGAGUUGGCUGUUUCUCUGUCUAAAAAGCAGAGAGAGUAAGGGCUGGGUAAGGCGGGUGCCAGCCGCCGCGGUAA
This 425-nucleotide ribosomal RNA is filed under the name uncultured archaeon. Its description in RNAcentral is "bacterial SSU rRNA". It matches the Rfam family "Archaeal small subunit ribosomal RNA", at positions 44 to 473 of the family's 1478-position model. The record is from RNAcentral.